UUAAAGAGUUCUAUAACUCCCAAACCCAUGUGAACAUACCUAACGUUGCCUCGGCAGGUCGCACCUACCUUGUAGCACCCUACCCUGUAGGGCCUACCCGGGAGAUGCGGGUAAGCCUGCCGGCGGCCCACCAAACUCUGUUUAAUAUUGAAUUCUGAACAUAUAACUAAAUAAGUUAAAACUUUCAACAACGGAUCUCUUGGUUCUGGCAUCGAUGAAGAACGCAGCGAAAUGCGAUAAGUAAUGUGAAUUGCAGAAUUCAGUGAAUCAUCGAAUCUUUGAACGCAUAUUGCGCCCAUUAGUAUUCUAGUGGGCAGGACCGUUCGAGCGUCAUUUCGACCCUUAAGCCUUAGUUGCUUAGUGUUGGGAGCCUACGGCAACGUAGCUCCUCAAAGUUAGUGGCGGAGUUGGUUCACACUCUAGACGUAGUAAUUUUUUAUCUCGCCUAUUAGUUGGACUGAUCCCCUGCCGUAAAACCCCCAACUUAUCAAGGUUGACCUCGAAUCGGUUCAGACAAACUCGCUAAAUUGAAGCAUCUUAGUCAGCGAAGGAAAAGAAACCAACAGGGAUUGCCCUAGUAACGGCGAGUGAAGCGGCAACAGCU
RNAcentral lists this ribosomal RNA (604 nucleotides) under fungal endophyte. Its description in RNAcentral is "eukaryotic LSU rRNA". The stretch from base 180 to 333 matches the Rfam family "5.8S ribosomal RNA". The record is from RNAcentral. Lineage: Eukaryota; Fungi.